UUCAAUUUUUGAAGUUUCUCUAGCUUUUUUGUUGGGUGAAAUCAGUAUAAGAAGCUCUUUCUUCUUUAAAAAUUAGUAGGAACUAAAAAACUUUGAUUUAAAACCAGGAUUAGAUACCCUGUUAUUCUCAGUUAUUCUUAAACAGGGUAGUAAAAGUUGUUCUUCAAACCCAAAGAUUUUGGCGGCACUUUAUCCAAAUAGAGGAGCUUGUCCCUUAAUCGAUAGUCCUCGUUUUAUCUUUCCUUCAUUUGUAAAGCUUGUAUACCGCCGUUGUCAGAUUACUUUUAGAGAAUGUUUUCAAGUUAAAAGACUUUAUAACUUCAGGUCAAGGUGCAGCUUAUAUGGGGGUGGAGGUGAGCUACAGUUUUCUUUAGAAAAUACGGAUUCUAAGCUUUGAAGCUAGCUGAAGGUGGAUUUACUAGUAAAGUAAUUUAAGUAAA
This 440-nucleotide ribosomal RNA is filed under the name Daphnia galeata. RNAcentral describes it as "partial 12S ribosomal RNA". The record is from RNAcentral. Lineage: Eukaryota; Metazoa; Arthropoda; Branchiopoda; Diplostraca; Daphniidae.